RNAcentral lists this transfer RNA (66 nucleotides) under Quadrella coronata. RNAcentral's name for it is "tRNA-Met". Lineage: Eukaryota; Metazoa; Arthropoda; Malacostraca; Decapoda; Trapeziidae. The record is from RNAcentral.
AAAAAGAUAAGCUAAGUCUAAGCUAAUGGGUUCAUACCCCGUUAAUGAAAUUAUUUUCUCUUUUUU